CGGGAGGGGCGUGGCCUGCCGGACUGCGGUCAGCGAGCGCCUGUUGGACUCUUGCGCAAGGCGGAGGCAGCCAGGGGACUUUCGCGAUUACUCCAAGUGCUGCACAGGUUCCGGGCCGCCGGGCCACCCUGCCUCCCCUCCGGGUCUACGCCGCCUGCGCCGUGCUGAGUCGGAGGGCCGCUGGAGGGGACGGCUGUCGCGUCCUGUUACUGGGCUUGCUACCCGCGUGGGCUCCGUCUGAGAUUGUAGCAGAAGUGCGAGAGAUUUGCAGUGUGGCCGCGCAGAACGAGCUGGGCCUGGCCCGCUGAGUUUGUGCCUGGUCUGGGAGGCCUGGGCGCCCACUUCGGUGGGAACCCCCAGUGGGAGGGGCCUUCUCGCGGUCCCCGUGACCACCGAGGCCUGCAUGGCUCCUGGGCACUGGCCGUGAACCCCGCAGAGCAAGUGCACGUUUAUUUCCCCUUGUGCGAAGAAGCAGCACCCAGGACAGAUACAGAGUUUGCAGGGCCAGGUACAGACGGAAAAUGUGGCGCCUUUAUUCCAAACUUAGGAAGAAGUUUAAGAAGGCCCCUCUGUUCCUCAAAUGCCCCGAGUUUUUGCCUGCUGAGUCCUGUGCAUCGAAUACUGAGCUUCUGGGCCGCUGUCUUCCUGACUGCUCGUGGACAGGCUCCUUCCUGUGUUUUAGCUGGUUUCAGUCACCCCCCCCAGAAAGACCCUCGCCGAUGGCUCUUCUGGUUACCACCCUCGUUUCCCAGAUUAUGUGUCUGUUUUCAUCUCUCCUCAGCAGGGCAUAAGUGCAGCAGGAAAGACUGUGCCGUGUUGCCUCCAUUGUGUGCCAUCCUUGGGAGAACUGAGAAAAUCACCAAGAAAAUCACUUCUGGGUCUUGGGGUUUAGAUGAGAAAGGCAUGACUGAUAAAGGGUAGUCCUCAAACAUAUUUUUGCAAUGGAUGAACACAUUGACCCACCGCCGGGAGUGAGUCAGGUUUCUUCCUUCUGACUGCAGCAGCGUCUUGGGAGGACGAGACUCGUGAGCAAGAAUGUUCUGGAAAUCUUCGCGGAAGGGUUUUAGAGCGACCUGCCACUUAGACUUUUUCCAUCUGUAACAGUCAGGGCUGUCAAGCCUGAUGGAAGAGCGUGUUGUGUGGACUUUGAACAGGGCCAGGAGUAGGAAUGGCCGGGGAAGGGGGAGUUAAAGGAAAUUUCAGGAACAUUUGGCUCAUCUGUGGGUGGGCGGAUGUGGGGUCAUUAGGCGCCGAUGAGAUGACAUCUAAAGCAUGGGGAAGUCAGGGUGGGCUUAGAAAUGGUGCUGUUCCAGGCCAUUUCUACAGAGCGUGGAAAUUAAGGGGAGGUGAAAUGAGCGAAAGUCCUGUAUUUGCCAACAGCAUGCUGUGGUUAGCUGCGCUGUAGCAUGAGGGAUUUGAGGCUUGGAGGCGUCUCCUAGAGAACUGUAGCCUAGUCUUGCCGACAGAGCAAGGACCAAAGGAAAGGAUGGGGCAAAUCAUUGUCCUGAAUGUGUUCAAACACUAAAUCGUUAGCAAAGAUUUAUGAAGGGGCAGACUGCUGGCUUCUAGGGGUGGAAGCUUGAACAAGGCCAUCCUGAUCCCUGCACUUACAGGGUGGCUUGGAGAGGUGAGGGACAGAUGGUGUGUAUGGAUGGCAACGUGCUGAGUGCUGUGCGAGGUUCCAGAGGAAGCUGCAGGGGAGGCGGGUGUGCCCGUGCCUUUCUUGCAUACCCUUGUGAGGGUGUGCACAGGUGUACAUUUGGCAGGAAGGCUGUGGAGAGCCUGGGGGUACAUGAACAACAUCCAGAGAUGGCGUUGGAAGAAGGAGAGGCCCCGGCCAGGACAUGCAGAGCCUGAGCCGGCAAACUGAAAGCAGUUCUAGCUUUCAGUCUUGUGUCUGUGUUUUGGAGGACAGGACCUGAAGUCUGAGGCCAAAGAGUAUAUGACUUUGGGAUAUUUGUGGAGAAUUAGGUCUCUAUCCAGACCUGGAAUUCCUAUUUUUAAAAGAAUUGGUGCCAUGACCCCUUUGGCAGCCUGCCAAAACCUAUAAACUCCUUUGAAGAGUAAUGCUUUUAUUUAAAUAAAAGACCCAAGAUUAAAGAGGAAACCGUUUGUAUUGAAAUACAGACAUUGAGCCAACUUUGUGAUAUAUUAAAGCUGCAUUGAAACCACCUUUGUAAUAUAAGUGCUUUUUUAUAAAUGGCAUUAAGUAGCCAGAAGUGGUCUGAUGAAUACAAUUUCCAAAUUAUGUUCUGGAUAAACAAUAUUUUGAG
This 2273-nucleotide long non-coding RNA is filed under the name Heterocephalus glaber (naked mole-rat). RNAcentral describes it as "lncRNA (ENSHGLG00100038566.1)". The record is from RNAcentral. Lineage: Eukaryota; Metazoa; Chordata; Mammalia; Rodentia; Bathyergidae.